CAUGAGUUAUGUCAUGUUAUCGACAUGUGAAUUCAUAGCAUGUCAGAAGGCAGACCCGGAGAACUGAAACAUCUUAGUACCCGGAGGAAGAGAAAGAAAAAUCGAUUCCCUGAGUAGCGGCGAGCGAAACGGGAAGAGCCCAAACCAACAAGCUUGCUUGUUGGGGUUGUAGGACACUCUAUACGGAGUUACAAAAGAACAUGUUAGACGAAUCAUCUGGAAAGAUGAAUCAAAGAAGGUAAUAAUCCUGUAGUCGAAAACAUAUUCUCUCUUGAGUGGAUCCUGAGUACGACGGAGCACGUGAAAUUCCGUCGGAAUCUGGGAGGACCAUCUCCUAAGGCUAAAUACUCUCUAGUGACCGAUAGUGAACCAGUACCGUGAGGGAAAGGUGAAAAGUACCCCGGAAGGGGAGUGAAAGAGAACUUGAAACCGUGUGCUUACAAGUAGUCAGAGCCCGUUAAUGGGUGAUGGCGUGCCUUUUGUAGAAUGAACCGGCGAGUUACGAUCUGAUGCAAGGUUAAGCAGCAAAUGUGGAGCCGCAGCGAAAGCGAGUCUGAAUAGGGCGUUGAGUAUUUGGUCGUAGACCCGAAACCAGGUGAUCUACCCUUGGUCAGGUUGAAGUUCAGGUAACACUGAAUGGAGGACCGAACCGACUUACGUUGAAAAGUGAGCGGAUGAACUGAGGGUAGCGGAGAAAUUCCAAUCGAACUUGGAGAUAGCUGGUUCUCUCCGAAAUAGCUUUAGGGCUAGCCUCAAGUGAUGAUUAUUGGAGGUAGAGCACUGUUUGGACGAGGGGCCCCUCUCGGGUUACCGAAUUCAGACAAACUCCGAAUGCCAAUUAAUUUAACUUGGGAGUCAGAACAUGGGUGAUAAGGUCCGUGUUCGAAAGGGAAACAGCCCAGACCACCAGCUAAGGUCCCAAAAUAUAUGUUAAGUGGAAAAGGAUGUGGCGUUGCCCAGACAACUAGGAUGUUGGCUUAGAAGCAGCCAUCAUUUAAAGAGUGCGUAAUAGCUCACUAGUCGAGUGACACUGCGCCGAAAAUGUACCGGGGCUAAACAUAUUACCGAAGCUGUGGAUUGUCCUUUGGACAAUGGUAGGAGAGCGUUCUAAGGGCGUCGAAGCAUGAUCGCAAGGACAUGUGGAGCGCUUAGAAGUGAGAAUGCCGGUGUGAGUAGCGAAAGACGGGUGAGAAUCCCGUCCACCGAUUGACUAAGGUUUCCAGAGGAAGGCUCGUCCGCUCUGGGUUAGUCGGGUCCUAAGCUGAGGCCGACAGGCGUAGGCGAUGGAUAACAGGUUGAUAUUCCUGUACCACCUAGUAUCGUUUUAAUCGAUGGGGGGACGCAGUAGGAUAGGCGAAGCGUGCUGUUGGAGUGCACGUCCAAGCAGUAAGGCUGAGUGUUAGGCAAAUCCGGCACUCAUAAGGCUGAGCUGUGAUGGGGAGAGGAAAUUGUUUCCUCGAGUCGUUGAUUUCACACUGCCGAGAAAAGCCUCUAGAUAGAUAACAGGUGCCCGUACCGCAAACCGACACAGGUAGUCAAGAUGAGAAUUCUAAGGUGAGCGAGCGAACUCUCGUUAAGGAACUCGGCAAAAUGACCCCGUAACUUCGGGAGAAGGGGUGCUCUUUAGGGUUCACGCCCAGAAGAGCCGCAGUGAAUAGGCCCAAGCGACUGUUUAUCAAAAACACAGGUCUCUGCUAAACCGUAAGGUGAUGUAUAGGGGCUGACGCCUGCCCGGUGCUGGAAGGUUAAGAGGAGUGGUUAGCUUCUGCGAAGCUACGAAUCGAAGCCCCAGUAAACGGCGGCCGUAACUAUAACGGUCCUAAGGUAGCGAAAUUCCUUGUCGGGUAAGUUCCGACCCGCACGAAAGGCGUAACGAUUUGGGCACUGUCUCAACGAGAGACUCGGUGAAAUCAUAGUACCUGUGAAGAUGCAGGUUACCCGCGACAGGACGGAAAGACCCCGUGGAGCUUUACUGUAGCCUGAUAUUGAAAUUCGGCACAGCUUGUACAGGAUAGGUAGGAGCCUUUGAAACGUGAGCGCUAGCUUACGUGGAGGCGUUGGUGGGAUACUACCCUAGCUGUGUUGGCUUUCUAACCCGCACCACUUAUCGUGGUGGGAGACAGUGUCAGGCGGGCAGUUUGACUGGGGCGGUCGCCUCCUAAAAGGUAACGGAGGCGCUCAAAGGUUCCCUCAGAAUGGUUGGAAAUCAUUCAUAGAGUGUAAAGGCAUAAGGGAGCUUGACUGCGAGACCUACAAGUCGAGCAGGGUC
This 2269-nucleotide ribosomal RNA is filed under the name Staphylococcus epidermidis. Its description in RNAcentral is "partial 23S ribosomal RNA". It matches the Rfam family "Bacterial large subunit ribosomal RNA", at positions 132 to 2400 of the family's 2925-position model. The record is from RNAcentral. Lineage: Bacteria; Bacillati; Bacillota; Bacilli; Caryophanales; Staphylococcaceae.